GAUGAAGAACGCAGCGAAAUGCGAUAAGUAAUGUGAAUUGCAGAAUUCAGUGAAUCAUCGAGUCUUUGAACGCACAUUGCGCCCCCUGGUAUUCCGGGGGGCAUGCCUGUCCGAGCGUCAUUGCCGCCCUCAAGCACGGCUUGUGUGUUGGGCCCCCGCCCCCCGGCUUCGGGGGGCGGGCCCGAAAGGCAGCGGCGGCACCGCGUCCGGUCCUCGAGCGUAUGGGGCUUCGUCACCCGCUCUGUAGGCCCGGCCGGCGCCCUCCGGCGACCCCAAUCAAUCUUUCCAGGUUGACCUCGGAUCAGGUAGGGAUACCCGCUGAACUUAAGCAUAUCAAUAAGCGGAGGA
RNAcentral lists this unclassified non-coding RNA (348 nucleotides) under soil metagenome. Its description in RNAcentral is "partial contains 5.8S ribosomal RNA, internal transcribed spacer 2, and large subunit ribosomal RNA". The stretch from base 1 to 120 matches the Rfam family "5.8S ribosomal RNA", at positions 35 to 154 of the family's 154-position model. The record is from RNAcentral.